UACGAGGGGGGCAAGCGUUGUUCGGAAUUAUUGGGCGUAAAGGGCGCGUAGGCGGUGCGGUAAGACUGUGGUGAAAUCUUCGGGCUCAACUCGAAGCCUGCCGCGGUGACUGCCGUGCUCGAGUGUGGGAGAGGUGAGUGGAAUUCCCGGUGUAGCGGUGAAAUGCGUAGAUAUCAGGAGGAACACCAAUAGCGAAGGCAGCUCGCUGGGACGGUACUGACGCUAAGGCGCGAAAGCGUGGGGAGCGAACAGG
Molecule: ribosomal RNA, 253 nt
Filed under: uncultured bacterium
Lineage: Bacteria
Description: partial 16S ribosomal RNA
Rfam family: Bacterial small subunit ribosomal RNA
Source: RNAcentral